AUCAUCAUCAUUCAACAAAACAGUGGAAGUAUCAUUGACAGAAGAUAUAACAGAAGAAGCUUCAUCUACUUUUAUAUUAUAUGAUUCUAUCACCGUCUUUGUCACGCCCCGCGCCCCGCCUAUUUGGUCGGGUUCGGGCACGUUAACAGACCGCCGAACGGACAUAGUCUCCCUUGUACGUCCAAGGCGUCGCAAUCAAUACGAUACAAGGAGUUCCGACCAGGAACAAUAUUCAUUCAUAGAUUGCAUAAGGAAGUAUCAAAAAUAUAAAACCACUAAGUUACUACAACAUUCAACUUAGAUACAUGUUACAACACAUUUCUUUUACAUUCAUCUUCCAAAUACAAUCACAAUUAUUACGAUUUAUUACAAGUUUGUACUUUGUCUCUAAACCCCUUAAGCUAG
Molecule: long non-coding RNA, 405 nt
Filed under: Ananas comosus (pineapple)
Lineage: Eukaryota; Viridiplantae; Streptophyta; Magnoliopsida; Poales; Bromeliaceae
Description: long non-coding RNA (ACOM_LNC026787)
Source: RNAcentral